CUGACACAGGGAGGUAGUGACAAUAAAUAACAAUGCCGUGCCCUUUUGGGUAUGGCUUUUGGAAUGAGAGAAACACAGAAUCCACAUCGAGGAUCAAUUGGAGGGCAAGUCUGGUGCCAGCAGCCGCGGUAAUUCCAGCUCCAAUAGCGUAUAUUAAAGUUGCUGCAGUUAAAAAGCUCGUAGUUGCAUUUCCGAGGCAAGGGAUUAGUCCGACCUUUGGUGGGUAUUUAAUCCUCUUGCCUCGUCCUUGAGUGGUGCUUCUUGGUAUUAAGUUAUCGAGGAGAUAGCCGCUCAUCGUUUACUGUGAGAAAAUUAGAGUGUUCAAAGCAGGCUUAUGCCGUUGAAUAUAUUAGCAUGGAAUAAUAAGAUAGGACCUCGGUACUAUUUUGUUGGUUUGAGAACCAAGGUAAUGAUGAAUAGGGACAGUUGGGGGUAUUCGUAUUCAGUUGUCAGAGGUGAAAUUCUUAGAUUUACGGAAGACGAACUACUGCGAAAGCAUUUACCAAGGA
This 509-nucleotide ribosomal RNA is filed under the name uncultured diatom. RNAcentral's name for it is "SSU rRNA". It matches the Rfam family "Eukaryotic small subunit ribosomal RNA", at positions 451 to 964 of the family's 1831-position model. Lineage: Eukaryota; Bacillariophyta. The record is from RNAcentral.